RNAcentral lists this transfer RNA (92 nucleotides) under Chloroflexota bacterium. Its description in RNAcentral is "Chloroflexi bacterium (sediment metagenome) tRNA-Ser". It matches the Rfam family "tRNA". Rfam says of the family: Transfer RNA (tRNA) molecules are approximately 80 nucleotides in length. Their secondary structure includes four short double-helical elements and three loops (D, anti-codon, and T loops). The record is from RNAcentral. Lineage: Bacteria; Bacillati; Chloroflexota.
GGAGAGGUGCCAGAGUGGUUGAAUGGGGCGGUCUCGAAAACCGUUGUGGCUCUCACGGGUCACCGAGGGUUCGAAUCCCUCCCUCUCCGCCA